UUAAGGCCACUGGAAGAGCGUGCUAAAGCACCGCCGAAGGCGUAACACCCGUAAUCGCUCAGGCUCAAGAACCAGUGGCAUAGG
RNAcentral lists this non-coding RNA (84 nucleotides) under Ferriphaselus amnicola. RNAcentral's name for it is "Glycine sequence". It matches the Rfam family "Glycine riboswitch aptamer". Rfam says of the family: This family represents the bacterial glycine riboswitch. Lineage: Bacteria; Pseudomonadati; Pseudomonadota; Betaproteobacteria; Nitrosomonadales; Gallionellaceae. The record is from Rfam by way of RNAcentral.